RNAcentral lists this ribosomal RNA (576 nucleotides) under Salmonella enterica. RNAcentral's name for it is "bacterial SSU rRNA". It matches the Rfam family "Bacterial small subunit ribosomal RNA", at positions 1 to 566 of the family's 1533-position model. The record is from RNAcentral. Lineage: Bacteria; Pseudomonadati; Pseudomonadota; Gammaproteobacteria; Enterobacterales; Enterobacteriaceae.
AAAUUGAAGAGUUUGAUCAUGGCUCAGAUUGAACGCUGGCGGCAGGCCUAACACAUGCAAGUCGAACGGUAACAGGAAGCAGCUUGCUGCUUUGCUGACGAGUGGCGGACGGGUGAGUAAUGUCUGGGAAACUGCCUGAUGGAGGGGGAUAACUACUGGAAACGGUGGCUAAUACCGCAUAACGUCGCAAGACCAAAGAGGGGGACCUUCGGGCCUCUUGCCAUCAGAUGUGCCCAGAUGGGAUUAGCUUGUUGGUGAGGUAACGGCUCACCAAGGCGACGAUCCCUAGCUGGUCUGAGAGGAUGACCAGCCACACUGGAACUGAGACACGGUCCAGACUCCUACGGGAGGCAGCAGUGGGGAAUAUUGCACAAUGGGCGCAAGCCUGAUGCAGCCAUGCCGCGUGUAUGAAGAAGGCCUUCGGGUUGUAAAGUACUUUCAGCGGGGAGGAAGGUGUUGUGGUUAAUAACCGCAGCAAUUGACGUUACCCGCAGAAGAAGCACCGGCUAACUCCGUGCCAGCAGCCGCGGUAAUACGGAGGGUGCAAGCGUUAAUCGGAAUUACUGGGCGUAAAGC